RNAcentral lists this ribosomal RNA (532 nucleotides) under uncultured bacterium. Its description in RNAcentral is "bacterial SSU rRNA". It matches the Rfam family "Bacterial small subunit ribosomal RNA", at positions 83 to 631 of the family's 1533-position model. The record is from RNAcentral.
UUCCUCAAUCGAGUGGCGAACGGGUGAGUAACGCGUGAGGAACCUGCCUCAAAGAGGGGGACAACAGUUGGAAACGACUGCUAAUACCGCAUAAGCCCACGGGUCGGCAUCGACCAGAGGGAAAAGGAGCAAUCCGCUUUGAGAUGGCCUCGCGUCCGAUUAGCUAGUUGGUGGGGUAACGGCCCACCAAGGCAACGAUCGGUAGCCGGACUGAGAGGUUGAACGGCCACAUUGGGACUGAGACACGGCCCAGACUCCUACGGGAGGCAGCAGUGGGGAAUAUUGCACAAUGGGGGAAACCCUGAUGCAGCGACGCCGCGUGGAGGAAGAAGGUCUUCGGAUUGUAAACUCCUGUUGUUGAGGAAGAUAAUGACGGUACUCAACAAGGAAGUGACGGCUAACUACGUGCCAGCAGCCGCGGUAAAACGUAGGUCACAAGCGUUGUCCGGAAUUACUGGGUGUAAAGGGAGCGCAGGCGGGAAGACAAGUUGGAAGCGAAAUCUAUGGGCUCAACCCAUAAACUGCUUCAAAA